CCUACGGGUGGCAGCAGUAGGGAAUCUUUCACAAUGGGCGAAAGCCUGAUGGAGCAACGCCGCGUGCAGGAUGAAGGCCUUCGGGUUGUAAACUGCUUUUAUAAGCGAGAAAUAUGAGGGUAACUUAUGAAUAAGGAUCGGCUAACUACGUGCCAGCAGCCGCGGUCAUACGUAGGAUCCGAGCAUUAUCCGGAGUGACUGGGGGUAAAGAGUUGCGUAGGUGGCAUAAUAAGUAGCUAGUGAAAUCUGGUGGCUCAACCAUUCAGACUAUUAGCUAAACUGUUAAGCUCGAGACCGUUAGGGGUAACUGGAAUUUCUAGUGUAGGAGUGAAAUCCGUAGAUAUUAGAAGGAACACCAAUAGCGUAGGCAGGUUGCUGGGACGGUUCUGACACUAAGGCACGAAAGCGUAGGGAGCAAACGGGAUUAGAUACCCGUGUAGUC
This 442-nucleotide ribosomal RNA is filed under the name uncultured bacterium. RNAcentral's name for it is "partial 16S ribosomal RNA". It matches the Rfam family "Bacterial small subunit ribosomal RNA", at positions 338 to 795 of the family's 1533-position model. The record is from RNAcentral.